This 201-nucleotide long non-coding RNA is filed under the name Trifolium pratense (red clover). RNAcentral describes it as "long non-coding RNA (TPRA_LNC014299)". Lineage: Eukaryota; Viridiplantae; Streptophyta; Magnoliopsida; Fabales; Fabaceae. The record is from RNAcentral.
AGCCUAUACCUGGAAGAGAGGGAGGUUUGUUUAGGCAAGCAUGGCAUGACAGAACCACAGUUCCAUUCAUUCUUGAACCACUUCAAUCAGCCUUCUUAUGAGCUUACCCCAUUCGACUUCGCUCCCUCACAUGCCUGCACUAGGGAAUUCUUUACCUGGUGGUCUCGACACUAUGAAGGACGCCUGGUUGACAAGACUGCC